GACGAACGCUGGCGGCGUGCUUAACACAUGCAAGUCGAACGGAAAGGCCCUGCUUUUGUGGGGUGCUCGAGUGGCGAACGGGUGAGUAACACGUGAGUAACCUGCCCUUGACUUUGGGAUAACUUCAGGAAACUGGGGCUAAUACCGGAUAGGAGCUCCUGCUGCAUGGUGGGGGUUGGAAAGUUUCGGCGGUUGGGGAUGGACUCGCGGCUUAUCAGCUUGUUGGUGGGGUAGUGGCUUACCAAGGCUUUGACGGGUAGCCGGCCUGAGAGAGUGACCGGCCACAUUGGGACUGAGAUACGGCCCAGACUCCUACGGGAGGCAGCAGUGGGGAAUAUUGCACAAUGGGCGGAAGCCUGAUGCAGCAACGCCGCGUGCGGGAUGACGGCCUUCGGGUUGUAAACCGCUUUCGCCUGUGACGAAGCGUGAGUGACGGUAAUGGGUAAAGAAGCACCGGCUAACUACG
RNAcentral lists this ribosomal RNA (466 nucleotides) under uncultured bacterium. RNAcentral describes it as "partial 16S ribosomal RNA". It matches the Rfam family "Bacterial small subunit ribosomal RNA", at positions 28 to 505 of the family's 1533-position model. The record is from RNAcentral.